CCUACGGGAGGCUGCAGUGAGGAAUAUUGGUCAAUGGCCGGAAGGCUGAACCAGCCAAGCCGCGUGAAGGACGCAGGUGCCAAGCAUUGUAAACUUCUUUUGUCAAGGGACAAAAUCAGGCGCGAGAGCCUGACCGAGGGUACUUGAAGAAAAAGCAUCGGCAAACUCCGUGCCAGCAGCCGCGUCAAUACGGAGGAUGCGAGCGUUAUCCGGAUUUAUUGGGUUAAUAGGGUGGGUAGGCGGACUGUUAAGUCAGCGGUAAAAGCCCGGGGCUCAACCCCGGCGAGCCGUUGAGACUGGCUGUCUUGAGAUGUCGAGAGGGAUGCGGAAUGCGCGGUGUAGCAGUGAAAUGCGUAGAUAUUGCGCAGAACUCCGAUUGCGAAGGCAGAAUACCGGCGGCGAUCUGACGCUGAGGCACGAAGGCGAGGGUAUCGAAAAGGAUUAGAUACCCGGGUAGUC
This 459-nucleotide ribosomal RNA is filed under the name uncultured bacterium. RNAcentral describes it as "partial 16S ribosomal RNA". It matches the Rfam family "Bacterial small subunit ribosomal RNA", at positions 338 to 795 of the family's 1533-position model. The record is from RNAcentral.